This 1218-nucleotide long non-coding RNA is filed under the name Mytilus galloprovincialis (Mediterranean mussel). Lineage: Eukaryota; Metazoa; Mollusca; Bivalvia; Mytilida; Mytilidae. The record is from RNAcentral.
AUUGUGUAUUUUUGUACAUAUUUUAUGUUUGUCACAGAUCAUGUUUUUUGAUUUAUAUGGCAAUAAAAUUAUUUGAUUUUGAUUUGAUUUGAUUAAAUAUUUAAUUUAAAGCGACUAUUUUUAUCAUCUUUAUAGGCAUGUUAAAAAUAAAUUCAAAUGUCUGUUGGUCUUCCUUUAAAUCAAGUAUGGAAACAAAUGCUUUUUUUCCCUUCAAAUUAUGGGCAUUGCAGAUAUGAUAAUGUUAAAAGUAUACAUUUUUCAAUAUCAAUCAUUGUCAAUACGGGGAUAUAAAUAUAUCUCAUGAAAUAAUCACAUCCAAACAUUUUUUUAUCAUUUGUUAACCAUUUUUGUCGAGCCUUCGAACCCCCCUUGAAAACAAAUAAGCACUGUUAAAGUCGAUGUUAUGUUCGAAUUGUGACUGUUAAAGUCGAGUUUGUGAGUCAAACGAACCCCCCUUUGGAAAUUCCUGGCUACGGGCCUGGCGAUCCUACAUUCCGUUGUCGUCGGCGGCGUCCACAAAUAUUCCCUCUGUUGUUAAAGUUUUUGAAAUUUUAAUAACUUUCUUAAACUACACUGGAUUUCUACCAAACUUGGACAGAAGCUUGUUUAUGAUCAUAAGAUAGUAUCCAGAAGUAAGUUUUGUAAAAAUAAAAUUCCAUUUUUGCCGUAUUUUACUUAUAAAUGGACUUAGUUUUUCUGCAGGAAAUCAUUCCAUUCAGUCUGUGGUUAAAGUUUUUGAAAUUUUAAUAACUUUCUUAAACUAUCCUGGGUUUGUACCAAACUUGGAUAGAAGCUUGUUUAUGAUUAUAAGAUAGUAUCCAGAACUAAAUUUUGUAAAACAUUAAAUCCAUUUUUUCGGUAUUUUACUUUUAAAUGGACUUAGUUUUUCUGCCAGGAAACAACACAUUCACUCUGUGGUUAAAGUUUUAAAACUUUUAAUAGUUUUCUUAUACUAUUUUUAAUUUGUACCAAACCUGGACAGAAGCUUGUUUAUGAUCAAAAGCUAGUAUCUAGGAGGAGAUUUUGUUCAAUUUUUGUACCUGUGUAUUUUUCUAAUAAAUGGACUUAGUUUUUCUUCUAGUUAACAUUACAUACAGUCUGCAGUUUUAAAAUUAAAAUAACAUAAUAGAUUCAUACCUUCCGGAUUUUUACCAAAAUUUGGAUAGAAGCUUCUAACAAUCAAAAGGAAUAUUUUAUUGAUUGUUUUCCUUUUUUUUU